ACUGUCUGCCAUACCAACUCAACUGAUCUCACACACUAAGCAGGGUCAGACCUUGUUAGUACUUGGAUAGGAGACUGCCUGUGAAUACUGAGUGCUGUAGGCU
Molecule: ribosomal RNA, 103 nt
Filed under: Castor canadensis (American beaver)
Lineage: Eukaryota; Metazoa; Chordata; Mammalia; Rodentia; Castoridae
Source: RNAcentral